Molecule: RNA transcript, 2000 nt
Organism: Setaria italica (foxtail millet)
Lineage: Eukaryota; Viridiplantae; Streptophyta; Magnoliopsida; Poales; Poaceae
Gene name: probable carboxylesterase 15
Exons: 2
Source: RefSeq, a predicted model, not a curated record
UGUUAUAAGGAGCCGAGGUCCAUGUAUGCAAAUCGUCGAUUGUCAGUUGGCGAGUCCGGGGAGAGCUGCAAGCAGUCUUCGGCAUCCUCGAUAGACGAUCACCAAUUCACGUCACCAUCAGUCCAUCACCAUGUCCGGCGGCACAGCGCCGCGCGUCGUGGAGGACUUCUUCGGCGUGAUCCAGCUCCUCAGCGACGGCUCCGUCGUCCGCGGCGACGAAUCGACCAUCAUGCCGGCGGGAGGGCCGUUCCCGGACGUACCGAGCGUCCAGUGGAAGGACGCCGUGUACGACGCGGCUCGAGGCCUCAAGGUCCGCGUGUACAAGCCCUCGCCGCCGGCCGCCGGCGCCGAAGGGAAGCUCCCGGUGCUGGUGUACUUCCACGGAGGCGGCUACUGCGUCGGCGCCUACGACCAGCCCAUGUUCCACUCCUUCUGCCAGCGCUUCGCCGCCGAGCUCCCCGCCGUUGUGCUCUCCGUCCAGUACCGCCUCGCCCCCGAGCACCGCCUCCCCGCGGCCAUCGAAGAUGCCGCGACAUUCUUCUCCUGGCUGCGCGACGGCGCCGAGCCGUGGCUCGCCGAAUCGGCCGACCUCUCCCGGACGUUCGUGUCCGGCGUGUCCGCCGGCGCCAACCUGGCCCACCACGUCGUCGUCCAGAUCGCCUCCGGGCAGAUCGUGCUCGGUCCGGUGCGCCUAGCCGGAUACAUCCUCUUCUCCGCGUUCUUCGGCAGCGACGAGCACACGGCGACGGAGUCCGAUCCCCCCGCCGGCGUGUCCCUGACGGUCGAAAUGUCCGACCAGCUCUGGCGCAUGGCGCUUCCGGUGGGGGUCACCAGGGACCACCCGCUGGCGAACCCGUUCGCGCCGGGCAGCGCGAGGCUGGAGCCGCUGACGCUGCCGCCGGCGCUCGUCGUGGCGCCUGGCCGCGACGUGCUGUGUGGCCACGUGCUGCGCUACGCCGCGAGGCUCAAGGAGAUGGGGAAGGCCGUGGAGCUCGCCGAGUUCGUGGGGGAACCACAUGGCUUCUCCGUCAUCAGACCGCGGAGCGAGGCGACGGAGGAGUUGAUGGGAGUCUUGAAGCGGUUUGUGCACCACCAUGCCGUGCUCAAUUAGUCAACUGAACUGAAGGGGGUGAUUAGUUGGUCUGUCGGGGCCAUUGGUGGGCGCUCGUUCGUCGCUAUCCGCUCGCAGCGAACGAACGCCCCCAGAUACUGUUCAUCUUCCUCCUCUCGUCUUCCUUCUUCCUCCCGCAGGCAGAGCUCCAAUCCGACCUCCCACCGCCGCCGCCCCACGGACCGCCUCCCCUGUGUCUGACGGCAUCUAAGGUUUUCGUAGGCAUUUUUUUUUCCAAAAUGAAGACACGUACGUUGAUUUGGCUGUUCUCAUGGUGGUGCUCCUGGAACCUCGCGGCAGCAUCUCUCACACAUGGGAGUACGAUACCAGACUCUGGGAAAACGUAAAUCUGGCACUUCCGGGAUCCGAUGCGAGUGUGACAAGAUCACGUGAGCCACAUGCGUCCACAUGCUCGUGUCUUCGACCGGGAGGACGGGAACCUGCGGUCGUCUGUAGAUUCAGCAUUGCGGUUUCGUCUCCAGCUUUCUUUGGAACUUUGGAUGUUGACUGGAACCAGCGACAUUUGUUUUGUGUUUGCUGGGCUUGCAAAGCUCCUCCUUUACGUGGGCCGUUGCAUGCGUGUUGGACUCCAGCGACGCAGCCUUGAACUCAAGGAAUCGUCAUCCACCCGAGACAUACGUACCCUUUUUUCCCCUCUCCCUUUCUCUACUUCGUACCACAUCGGCCUUUAAAAUAGGUUUAGCAGCCAUUAUAUGUCAUCGUGCAACUACUGCAACCAGACCGCGUGGAAGGCGUGGUUAGCACAAACUCAAAAUCAUAUGAAAUAUUGGGAAAAUUCAUGAAGCACACUAAAUGAUGUGCUUAGCCGUUUUGUUUUCGACCAUUUUUUUUUUGUUUUCAAGAAACAUUUGUCAUCCAAGAGCUGUAU